Molecule: ribosomal RNA, 253 nt
Filed under: uncultured bacterium
Lineage: Bacteria
Description: partial 16S ribosomal RNA
Rfam family: Bacterial small subunit ribosomal RNA
Source: RNAcentral
CACGGAGGGUGCAAGCGUUAAUCGGAAUCACUGGGCGUAAAGCGCACGUAGGCGGUCUUGUAAGUCAGACGUGAAAGCCCUCGGCUCAACCGGGGAACUGCGUUUGAUACUGCUUGACUUGAGUAUCGGAGAGGGUGGCGGAAUUCCAGGUGUAGGAGUGAAAUCCGUAGAUAUCUGGAGGAACACCGGCGGCGAAGGCGGCCACCUGGACGAAUACUGACGCUGAGGUGCGAAAGCGUGGGGAGCAAACAGG